CAGCCGCCGCGGUAAUACAGAGGGUGCAAGCGUUAAUCGGAAUUACUGGGCGUAAAGCGCGCGUAGGUGGUUCGCCAAGUUGGAUGUGAAAUCCCCGGGCUCAACCUGGGAACUGCAUCCAAAACUGGCGAGCUAGAGUAUGGUAGAGGGUGGUGGAAUUUCCUGUGUUGCGGUGAAAUGCGUAGAUAUAGGAAGGAACAUCAGUGGCGAAGGCGACCACCUGGACUGAUACUGACACUGAGGUGCGAAAGCGUGGGGAGCAAACAGGAUUAGAUACCCCCGUAGUCCCUGUCUCUUAUAC
This 301-nucleotide ribosomal RNA is filed under the name uncultured bacterium. Its description in RNAcentral is "partial 16S ribosomal RNA". It matches the Rfam family "Bacterial small subunit ribosomal RNA", at positions 509 to 807 of the family's 1533-position model. The record is from RNAcentral.